Molecule: long non-coding RNA, 471 nt
Organism: Asterias rubens (European starfish)
Lineage: Eukaryota; Metazoa; Echinodermata; Asteroidea; Forcipulatida; Asteriidae
Exons: 2
Source: RefSeq, a predicted model, not a curated record
ACAGAGCCAUAUUAACGAUUCUUCCUAACCCCGGUCGACACCGCAACACUCAGCCUGAAGACGCCUCAAGUUAGUUCGCCCGCACAAUAACCAUGGCCAUUAUUUGGGGCUUCGAUCUCCCGUCCAUGAGACUCCCUAUUUGAGAUGAACUGAAAGACGAGGGCCGCUGUGAACUCCUGAAGUGGAGACUAAACUUAACGUCAUCUGUAUGAUGUCAUACUAGACUGCGUGCCAAUCGCCAUUCAUCGUACGUGAACGUACAGGGAGACUAAAGACUAUAGAGACGAGCUACCGUAACUUUGAAGUACAAGUAUCUGUGAUUUUUAUUCAUUAAUUGAUAGAAGAUUGCUUUGGCCAAUCGAUAAUAAGUGAUUCAAUUGACUGUGGGUUUAACUAAUGAUUACACCGAUUUACCCAAUGUUGUACAUAAUUGUAAAUAAUUUUUGUUGUAAAUAUAUUAUCUAAAUUUAA